UUUGCGGUACUCUGACCGUGCAAAGGUAGCAAAAUCAUUUGCCUUAUAAUUGAAGGCUAGUAUGAAUGGUUUGACAAGAAUAUAGCUGUCUCUUUAUGGCUAUUUAGAAUUUUAUUUAUAGGUGAAGAAGCCUAUAUUUCAUUAAUAGACGAGAAGACCCUAUCGAGCUUCAAAUAAAUUAAUAGAUAUAAAUCAAUUAAAUAAUAACUAAAAUAAAAACUAUUAAAUAUUCUUAGUUAGUUGGGGCGACUGAGGAACAAUAAAAGCUUCCUUUACAUUUUAAUAGACUAUGCUAGUUUUAAUCCAAAAACUUUUUGAUCAAAGAAAUUAGCUACCGUAGGGAUAACAGCAUAAUCCCUUUUGAGAGCUCCUAUCGAAAAGGGGGUUUGUGACCUCGAUGUUGGACUAGAAUAUCCCAAAGAUGCAGCAGUCUUUAAAGGUUGGUCUGUUCGACCAUUAAAUUUCUACGUGAAA
RNAcentral lists this ribosomal RNA (474 nucleotides) under Hemifusus tuba. RNAcentral's name for it is "partial 16S ribosomal RNA". It matches the Rfam family "Bacterial large subunit ribosomal RNA", at positions 1930 to 2605 of the family's 2925-position model. Lineage: Eukaryota; Metazoa; Mollusca; Gastropoda; Neogastropoda; Melongenidae. The record is from RNAcentral.